RNAcentral lists this ribosomal RNA (495 nucleotides) under uncultured bacterium. RNAcentral's name for it is "partial 16S ribosomal RNA". It matches the Rfam family "Bacterial small subunit ribosomal RNA", at positions 28 to 507 of the family's 1533-position model. The record is from RNAcentral.
GACGAGCGCUGGCGGCGUGCCUAAUACAUGCAAGUAGAACGCUGAAGGAGGAGCUUGCUCUUCUGGAUGAGUUGCGAACGGGUGAGUAACGCGUAGGUAACCUGCCUGGUAGCGGGGGAUAACUAUUGGAAACGAUAGCUAAUACCGCAUAACAGUAGAUGUUGCAUGACAUUUACUUAAAAGGUGCAAUUGCAUCACUACCAGAUGGACCUGCGUUGUAUUAGCUAGUUGGUGGGGUAACGGCUCACCAAGGCGACGAUACAUAGCCGACCUGAGAGGGUGAUCGGCCACACUGGGACUGAGACACGGCCCAGACUCCUACGGGAGGCAGCAGUAGGGAAUCUUCGGCAAUGGACGGAAGGCUGACCGAGCAACGCCGCGUGAGUGAAGAAGGUUUUCGGAUCGUAAAGCUCUGUUGUAAGAGAAGAACGAGUGUGAGAGUGGAAAGUUCACACUGUGACGGUAUCUUACCAGAAAGGGACGGCUAACUACGUG